AUCUUUCCUGUAUAAGUGAGUGACAGAACAGCAAAGCUGACGAGUAUGAUCCUGGGCAGUCUGACUGUCUUCCUGGUAGCGGUCAUCAUCGGUCUGGUUGUUAAAGUCAGGAAGCUUCAGACUUCAGCUGAUGGAGAAGAACAGAAUCCAGAGCAAAGAGAGAAUGUGGAGCUGAACUACGCAGCAGUGACAUUUCAACCGAGAGCAAAAAGAAGACAGCCGGAGCCGAAUGUUAUUUAUGCUGCUACCAGAUAAGACUCAGGAGAU
Molecule: long non-coding RNA, 267 nt
Organism: Sebastes umbrosus (honeycomb rockfish)
Lineage: Eukaryota; Metazoa; Chordata; Actinopteri; Perciformes; Sebastidae
Exons: 3
Source: RefSeq, a predicted model, not a curated record